Molecule: unclassified non-coding RNA, 509 nt
Filed under: uncultured Glomus
Lineage: Eukaryota; Fungi; Glomeromycota; Glomeromycetes; Glomerales; Glomeraceae
Description: SSU rRNA
Rfam family: Eukaryotic small subunit ribosomal RNA
Source: RNAcentral
AGCAGCCGCGGUAAUUCCAGCUCCAAUAGCGUAUAUUAAAGUUGUUGCAGUUAAAAAGCUCGUAGUUGAAUUUCGGGGUUAGCAGGUCGGUCGUGCCAUUGGUAUGAACUGGUCUCGCUGAUCCCUCCCUCUUGACGAACUGUGAUGCCAUUAAUUUGGUGUCGCAGGGAAUCAGGACUGUUACUUUGAAAAAUUAGAGUGUUUAAAGCAGGCUCACGCUUGAAUACAUUAGCAUGGAAUAAUAAAAUAGGACGUUUGAUCCUAUUUUGUUGGCUUCUAGGAUUGACGUAAUGAUUAAUAGGGAUAGUUGGGGGCAUUAGUAUUCAAUUGUCAGAGGUGAAAUUCUUGGAUUUAUUGAAGACUAACUACUGCGAAAGCAUUUGCCAAGGAUGUUUUCAUUAAUCAAGAACGAAAGUUAGGGGAUCGAAGACGAUCAGAUACCGUCGUAGUCUUAACCAUAAACUAUGCCGACUAGGGAUCGGAUGAUGUUAAUUUUUAAUGACUCAUUC